RNAcentral lists this long non-coding RNA (273 nucleotides) under Lathyrus oleraceus (garden pea). RNAcentral describes it as "Pisum sativum (pea) long non-coding RNA (PSAT_LNC031602)". The record is from RNAcentral. Lineage: Eukaryota; Viridiplantae; Streptophyta; Magnoliopsida; Fabales; Fabaceae.
ACCUAUCUGAGGCCGGACAAUAAAACUAUAGGCAAAUAAACAGAAGUUAGAGAUCAUGACUAGUAAGCCAAGCUCCUACAACUUGCCAUGCCAAAAGAAAAGAAGAAUGACCUUGUAUGGAUUUAGGUUUUUUGCUUGACCAAGAAGCAACCUAUCUUUAAUACAAAGCAAUUCACUUGAUCUUUGAUCAAGAUGAAUUUGAUUUGGAUCAAAGAAGGUUAAGCCUCUCAUAUGUCAAGGCUAACCACCAAUCAUUAACUCAUUGGUUAAAAA